This 577-nucleotide ribosomal RNA is filed under the name uncultured eukaryote. Its description in RNAcentral is "bacterial SSU rRNA". It matches the Rfam family "Eukaryotic small subunit ribosomal RNA", at positions 5 to 565 of the family's 1831-position model. The record is from RNAcentral.
CGGUUGAUCCUGCCAGUAAUCAUAUGCUUGUCUUAAAGAUUAAGCCAUGCAUGUCUAAGUAUAAGCAAUUUAUACGGCGAAACUGCGAAUGGCUCAUUAAAUCAGUUAUAGUUUAUUUGAUAGUACCUUAACUACAUGGAUAACCGUAGUAAUUCUAGAGCUAAUACAUGCUAAAAGGCUCACUCAAUUUUUUUGGUUGGGUGAGCUGUAUUUAUUAGAUAAAAAACCAAUGCAGGGGGCAACUCCUGGACCAUUGAUGAUUCAUGAUAACUUCGCGAAUCGCAUGGCCUUGUGCCGGCGAUGAUUCAUUCAAAUUUCUGCCCUAUCAACUUUCGAUGGCGGUGUAGUGGACCACCAUGGUUGUAACGGGUGACGGAGAAUUAGGGUUCGGUUCCGGAGAGGGAGCCUGAGAGAUGGCUACCACUUCCAAGGAAGGCAGCAGGCGCGCAAAUUACCCAAUAGCAAUACGCUGAGGUAGUGACAAUAAAUAACAAUACGGGUCCCGACAAGGGUCUCGUAAUUGGAAUGAGUACAAUUUAAAUCCCUUAACGAGGAACAAUUGGAGGGCAAGUCUGGU